ACAGAGGCCUCGAGCGUUAAUCGGAGUCACUGGGCUUAAAGGGUGCGUAGGCGGCGCUGCAAGUGCCUUGUGAAAUCCCACGGCUCAACCGUGGAAUUGCUCGGCAGACUGCAGUGCUUGAGGUUGGUAGAGGUCGCUGGAACUCUAGGUGGAGCGGUGAAAUGCGUAGAUAUUGGGAGGAACACCAGUGGCGAAGGCGGCUCACUGGACUGGUACUGACGCUGAGGCGCGAAAGCGUGGGGAGCAAACGGGA
Molecule: ribosomal RNA, 253 nt
Filed under: uncultured prokaryote
Description: partial 16S ribosomal RNA
Rfam family: Bacterial small subunit ribosomal RNA
Source: RNAcentral